CUACGGAGGAUGCAAGCGUUAUCCGGAUUUAUUGGGUUUAAAGGGUGCGUAGGCGGUUUGCUAAGCGGGAGGUGAAAUGCCGGCGCUCAACGUCGGAAGUGCCUCCCGAACUGGUGGACUUGAAUGACUCUGCCGUGGGAGGAAUGUGUAGUGUAGCGGUGAAAUGCUUAGAGAUUACACAGAACACCGAUUGCGAAGGCAUCUCACGAAGGGUUGAUUGACGCUGAGGCACGAAAGCGUGGGGAUCAAACAGGAUUAGAUACCCUGGUAGUCCACGCAGUAAACGAUGAUGGCUAACCGCUGGGCUUAUCAGUUCAGUGGCCAAGCGAAAGCGAUAAGCCAUCCACCUGGGGAGUACGACCGCAAGGUUGAAACUCAAAUGAAUUGACGGGG
This 393-nucleotide ribosomal RNA is filed under the name uncultured bacterium. RNAcentral describes it as "partial 16S ribosomal RNA". It matches the Rfam family "Bacterial small subunit ribosomal RNA", at positions 523 to 918 of the family's 1533-position model. The record is from RNAcentral.